CUGCGAAUAUUCUCGCUGUUCUGAUGUUGUAAUAAUCAGGGCAGGCUAAACAUUCGCUAUAUUAAGACCAUGCAUGUGUCCCCGGACCUAGUUCUUUUCCUAGGUCUGGUUUUAUAAAUGCUGGUGAUAAAC
Molecule: small nucleolar RNA, 132 nt
Organism: Monodon monoceros (narwhal)
Lineage: Eukaryota; Metazoa; Chordata; Mammalia; Artiodactyla; Monodontidae
Gene: SNORA72
Rfam family: Small nucleolar RNA SNORA72
About the family: U72 is a member of the H/ACA class of snoRNAs. The snoRNA gene is located in intron 4 of the ribosomal L30 protein gene in human, mouse and chicken.
Source: Ensembl